AUAUCAACCGAAUCGAAUAAUCGAACUGAACCGAAAUGAGUUCGAUUUUUUUGGUUCGGUUUUUCGAUUAAUUCGGUUAAGAUAGUUCGGUUAGUAAAAUUAUUUCAUUUGGUUUCGGUCAGAAAAAUUUCUAAUCGAACUAAUCGAACUAAUCGAAGGGCAUUAUAGACAUAUUACAUGAAAAAAAAUCCUAAACCUAAAUGGUAAUGUCAUCUCUUUGUUUGGUUCCUCUUCUACCGUCCCAUCUCCACUCUCCAAACUCUCCAAUCUCCACCGUAUUCUCUUCCCCUUCUCUCAUGUGUCCUGUCUCCACUCUUCAGUCUCCAGUCUCUACCCUUUUCUCUUCCCCUUCUCUCAUCUUUAGUAAGUUGCUGCCAUCCUUCACCCUUCUCACAUCAAGAACCUUCUCAAGAGGGUCGACUCAAAGUUAAUAUUAUCUUCAGGGAAGCUAAUAGCGCAACAGAUGCAUUGGCUAGAACAGGUGCUACUUCAGAGUUUGAGUUUAUCUUGUACCGUUAAGAACCAACCUUUGUUUCUUUGGUACUUUGUACCAAGAUGUGGGAACAUUGUAGCUGUCUAUGUUUUUGUUAAUGCAAAUCCUUAUUUAACAAAAAAAAAGAAGUACUCUAAGCAAUAGAAACUCUUACUCUAUUCACUUUUUAAA
Molecule: long non-coding RNA, 664 nt
Organism: Theobroma cacao (cacao)
Lineage: Eukaryota; Viridiplantae; Streptophyta; Magnoliopsida; Malvales; Malvaceae
Source: RefSeq, a predicted model, not a curated record